This 66-nucleotide transfer RNA is filed under the name Aphyosemion elberti (red barred killifish). RNAcentral's name for it is "tRNA-Tyr". Lineage: Eukaryota; Metazoa; Chordata; Actinopteri; Cyprinodontiformes; Nothobranchiidae. The record is from RNAcentral.
UAAGGUGGCUGAGAAUAAGCGGUGGACUGUAGUUCCACAAACAGAGGAUGUAAGUCCUCUCCUUUC